ACCUUCGUGGUGUAAUCGUAGCACACUCGUCACCUAUUCGAGAGGUCAAGGUUCGAAUCCCGGCGAGGGCA
Molecule: transfer RNA, 71 nt
Filed under: Stegodyphus mimosarum
Lineage: Eukaryota; Metazoa; Arthropoda; Arachnida; Araneae; Eresidae
Rfam family: tRNA
About the family: Transfer RNA (tRNA) molecules are approximately 80 nucleotides in length.
Source: Rfam by way of RNAcentral